Long non-coding RNA from Sitodiplosis mosellana (orange wheat blossom midge), 510 nucleotides. RefSeq lists it as uncharacterized. NCBI's taxonomy places the organism in Eukaryota, Metazoa, Arthropoda, Insecta, Diptera, Cecidomyiidae. The record is from RefSeq and is a predicted model, not a curated record. The transcript has 2 exons.
GUGUUGCAAUUACAAUUGAAAAUCUUAAGCUUUCAUACUUGAAAACAAUUGACUCGGUUUUUUGCUUCAGUUUGGCUGGAAACUUUGCAUUUGUUUUCUGAUUUUAUUUCUAGACAGACAGACAGACAACUGAGAUUUCGACUAAAAAUGCGAGUGUACUUUAUCAUCAUGGCUGUUGCUCUACUGAGUUUUGCUAACGCAUUACCACCAUGUGGUCCUGGUAAACUAAAAUGGAUUUUAUUCGUAGGCUAUGAUGUGGGCGGUGCCACUGUUAUACUCGAUACUUUGAAAGAGCCAAAUUUCACUGUCCGACUAGAAUACCAACGAGCAUUGUUUGACGUAUUCAUGGCUAAUCAAAAAAUCAUUCUAUAUACGGAUACGUGUCAGGUGAUGGAUUAUGGAUUCUACGAGUUUUCAGUAGUUUCUUGAUGUAUGACCUUGAAUGUGAACAGCGGAUGCAACUUGCUAAUUAUUUAUAUGAGUUGAAAUGAAUGCAUUUGUAACAUGUAA